GGGUUGUGAGGUUAAGCGACUAAGCGUACACGGUGGAUGCCCUGGCAGUCAGAGGCGAUGAAGGACGUGCUAAUCUGCGAAAAGCGUCGGUAAGGUGAUAUGAACCGUUAUAACCGGCGAUGUCCGAAUGGGGAAACCCAGUGCAAUUCGUUGCACUAUCGUUAACUGAAUACAUAGGUUAACGAGGCGAACCGGGGGAACUGAAACAUCUAAGUACCCCGAGGAAAAGAAAUCAACCGAGAUUCCCCCAGUAGCGGCGAGCGAACGGGGAGCAGCCCAGAGUCUGAAUCAGCUUGUGUGUUAGUGGAACGGUCUGGAAAGUCCGACGGUACAGGGUGAUAGUCCCGUACACCAAAAUGCACAGGUUGUGAACUCGAAGAGUAGGGCGGGACACGUGGUAUCCUGUCUGAAUAUGGGGGGACCAUCCUCCAAGGCUAAAUACUCCUGACUGACCGAUAGUGAACCAGUACCGUGAGGGAAAGGCGAAAAGAACCCCGGCGAGGGGAGUGAAAAAGAACCUGAAACCGUGUACGUACAAGCAGUGGGAGCACCUUCGGGUGUGACUGCGUACCUUUUGUAUAAUGGGUCAGCGACUUAUAUUCUGUAGCAAGGUUAACCGUAUAGGGAGCCGCAGGGAAACCGAGUCUUAACUGGGCGUUAAGUUGCAGGGUAUAGACCCGAAACCCGGUGAUCUAGCCAUGGGCAGGUUGAAGGUUGGGUAACACUAACUGGAGGACCGAACCGACUAAUGUUGAAAAAUUAGCGGAUGACUUGUGGCUGGGGGUGAAAGGCCAAUCAAACCGGGAGAUAGCUGGUUCUCCCCGAAAGCUAUUUAGGUAGCGCCUCGUGAACUCAUCUUCGGGGGUAGAGCACUGUUUCGGCUAGGGGUCAUCCCGACUUACCAACCCGAUGCAAACUACGAAUACCGAAGAAUGUUAUCACGGGAGACACACGGCGGGUGCUAACGUCCGUCGUGAAGAGGGAAACAACCCAGACCGCCAGCUAAGGUCCCAAAGUCAUGGUUAAGUGGGAAACGAUGUGGGAAGGCACAGACAGCCAGGAUGUUGGCUUAGAAGCAGCCAUCAUUUAAAGAAAGCGUAAUAGCUCACUGGUCGAGUCGGCCUGCGCGGAAGAUGUAACGGGGCUAAACCAUGCACCGAAGCUGCGGCAGCGACACUAUGUGUUGUUGGGUAGGGAGCGUUCUGUAAGCCUGCGAAGGUGACCUGUGAGGGUUGCUGGAGGUAUCAGAAGUGCGAAUGCUGACAUAAGUAACGAUAAAGCGGGUGAAAAGCCCGCUCGCCGGAAGACCAAGGGUUCCUGUCCAACGUUAAUCGGGGCAGGGUGAGUCGACCCCUAAGGCGAGGCCGAAAGGCGUAGUCGAUGGGAAACAGGUUAAUAUUCCUGUACUUGGUGUUACUGCGAAGGGGGGACGGAGAAGGCUAUGUUAGCCGGGCGACGGUUGUCCCGGUUUAAGCAUGUAGGCUGGUUGUCCAGGCAAAUCCGGAUAAUCAAGGCUGAGGUGUGAUGACGAGGCACUACGGUGCUGAAGUAACAAAUGCCCUGCUUCCAGGAAAAGCCUCUAAGCAUCAGGUAACAUUAAAUCGUACCCCAAACCGACACAGGUGGUCAGGUAGAGAAUACCAAGGCGCUUGAGAGAACUCGGGUGAAGGAACUAGGCAAAAUGGUGCCGUAACUUCGGGAGAAGGCACGCUGGUGUGUAGGUGAAGCCCCUGCGGGUGGAGCUGAGACCAGUCGAAGAUACCAGCUGGCUGCAACUGUUUAUUAAAAACACAGCACUGUGCAAACACGAAAGUGGACGUAUACGGUGUGACGCCUGCCCGGUGCCGGAAGGUUAAUUGAUGGGGUUAUCCGUAAGGAGAAGCUCUUGAUCGAAGCCCCGGUAAACGGCGGCCGUAACUAUAACGGUCCUAAGGUAGCGAAAUUCCUUGUCGGGUAAGUUCCGACCUGCACGAAUGGCGUAAUGAUGGCCAGGCUGUCUCCACCCGAGACUCAGUGAAAUUGAACUCGCUGUGAAGAUGCAGUGUACCCGCGGCAAGACGGAAAGACCCCGUGAACCUUUACUAUAGCUUGACACUGAACAUUGAGCCUUGAUGUGUAGGAUAGGUGGGAGGCUUUGAAGCGUGGACGCCAGUCUGCGUGGAGCCAACCUUGAAAUACCACCCUUUAAUGUUUGAUGUUCUAACGUUGGCCCCUUACCGGGGUUGCGGACAGUGUCUGGUGGGUAGUUUGACUGGGGCGGUCUCCUCCUAAAGCGUAACGGAGGAGCACGAAGGUUAGCUAAUCCUGGUCGGACAUCAGGAGGUUAGUGCAAUGGCAUAAGCUAGCUUGACUGCGAGCGUGACGGCGCGAGCAGGUGCGAAAGCAGGUCAUAGUGAUCCGGUGGUUCUGAAUGGAAGGGCCAUCGCUCAACGGAUAAAAGGUACUCCGGGGAUAACAGGCUGAUACCGCCCAAGAGUUCAUAUCGACGGCGGUGUUUGGCACCUCGAUGUCGGCUCAUCACAUCCUGGGGCUGAAGUAGGUCCCAAGGGUAUGGCUGUUCGCCAUUUAAAGUGGUACGCGAGCUGGGUUUAGAACGUCGUGAGACAGUUCGGUCCCUAUCUGCCGUGGGCGCUGGAGAAUUGAGGGGGGCUGCUCCUAGUACGAGAGGACCGGAGUGGACGCAUCACUGGUGUUCGGGUUGUCAUGCCAAUGGCACUGCCCGGUAGCUAAAUGCGGAAGAGAUAAGUGCUGAAAGCAUCUAAGCACGAAACUUGCCCCGAGAUGAGUUCUCCCUGAGACUUUAAGUCUCCUGAAGGAACGUUGAAGACGACGACGUUGAUAGGCCGGGUGUGUAAGCGCAGCGAUGCGUUGAGCUAACCGGUACUAAUGAACCGUGAGGCUUAACCUUACAACGCCGAAG
Molecule: ribosomal RNA, 2920 nt
Filed under: Klebsiella pneumoniae
Lineage: Bacteria; Pseudomonadati; Pseudomonadota; Gammaproteobacteria; Enterobacterales; Enterobacteriaceae
Description: 23S ribosomal RNA
Rfam family: Bacterial large subunit ribosomal RNA
Source: RNAcentral